CCUACGGGAGGCAGCAGUGGGGAAUAUUGGACAAUGGGCGAAAGCCUGAUCCAGCAAUGCCGCGUGUGUGAAGAAGGCCUGCGGGUUGUAAAGCACUUUCGGUGGGGAAGAAAAGCUCGGGGCUAAUACCUCCGGGCCUUGACGUUACCCACAGAAGAAGCACCGGCUAACUCCGUGCCAGCAGCCGCGGUAAU
Molecule: ribosomal RNA, 194 nt
Filed under: uncultured Thiocapsa sp.
Lineage: Bacteria; Pseudomonadati; Pseudomonadota; Gammaproteobacteria; Chromatiales; Chromatiaceae
Description: partial 16S ribosomal RNA
Rfam family: Bacterial small subunit ribosomal RNA
Source: RNAcentral